This is a non-coding RNA of Mycena rebaudengoi, 93 nucleotides long. NCBI's taxonomy places the organism in Eukaryota, Fungi, Basidiomycota, Agaricomycetes, Agaricales, Mycenaceae. The record is from the annotation of a GenBank genome assembly.
GGCCCAGUGGUGUAGUGGUGAACACACCUAUAUAUUGUUGACAUCUUGUAAUCUGGUUUGUGGGACAUUCCUGUUCGACUCAGGGCUGGGCUA